AUAUCGCAUGCGAUUAAUCGUGCAGCCCUAUUUUGGAUACAAUGUGACUUUAAAUCUCUUGUCUUUAAUGAACGUCUUUUUUCAUCCCACUUUUGAUGUUUGUUGCUUACUCCAUCCAUGAUUUACAUAUCAUUCACUUAGAGUAUAAUUAAUUAAUCAGCUUUCCCUUAAUUGUGUUGAUUACCUGGUGUCUCCAAUUAGUGUCUUGAACUGCGUAUAUAUGCAGGUGAUUUAUAAGGUUUAAAGCCAGAAGAUUGUGCAAGAUGGUCUGAAAUGUUUACAGAAUUUUCUUUUUUUUUUUCUUUUCUUUUCUUACUUUUUUUUUGUUUUUUUUUGUUUGAACACUUUUGCAUUUUGUUGUCACUUUAUAUGAAAAUUAUCAAAUAUGUAGAUCCCCUUUUUUGCUUCCUGGCACACAGGAGAGUUACAGGAGCAAAUCUGAGAUUUUAGUUUUAUUCCUUUAGUUAUUAGUUAACUUGCCUCCCGCCAGUAAAUGCAUAAAAGAAGAAGAAACACUGAAGAACAACAGAAGAAGUGAUGAACUGGAGUUUCUCCGGACAGCUGCUGUUUCUAAUUGGAUGUUGCCACGUUAUUGGGAACUUGCCACGCUGAGGGAGAAUUGGGAAGCUGCCACGCAUGUUCAUUCGCUUUUUUGUUGUUGUGUGUGUGUGUGUGUGUGGGCUUUUCUUUUCCGCAUGUUCAUAAGUGUCACAUCGGUCUAGAUUUGUUCAUGUUUUCAGUUCAGUUGUCUUUAUUUUGUCAUUGCUGAUGAUCAUAGUGUUGUCCUCUGUUUUCCUGCUGGUGUCUCUUGUCUUCAUUGGUUCAUUGCUCUAUCUGCUUUUUAUUCCAGUUCUGUUUGUUCCUUUAUUUCUGCUUUUUUGUUUGUUUGUUUCUCUCAUCUGUAACUGUCCUCGUGAUCAAACUACAGACUGUCAAUACACUCCUAAUUUUAUUGGUGACAUGUGAGUGUGAGCAGCUCCCCUCAUCUUCAUCUCUGCUCUUCUCCAUAAAAUGCAUCUCAAUCUCAUCAUCUGCAGAGAAACUGCUGCUCGAUCACCAGAAUGAUGGCCUGAAUGCUUCAGAGAGGAUUGUGAAGAGAUUCCACUGGAACUUGUUCUUAAUCACAUCUGUGUUCUGAUUCCUUUGUGUUUUACUUCAUGCAUUUAUUAAUCUUCAGUGUCAGUUGUCAUUUAUUAAUACAUUCAGGUGAUAACUGUUCAAAGCAGUGAUAUUUGUGCUACAAUUUCACAUGCCAAUAAAAAGCAAAUUAUAUGGACACUUCAUGUUUAAUGGAAUUAAAUGAUUAGUUAAUUGCAUUUUAAUAGAUUACACUUUCAAUAACACAUUUGGAUUUGUUUGUAAAAGCUGUGUUUAUGCAUGGUUUUAAUACAGCGUGUGGUGUUUCCAGCGAUUCACUGAAUCAUUCUGUGAAGCAAUUGAUUCAGAGUUUGUAAAUGAUUAAUUUCUCCAUCGCUAGCAAAGCUGGGUUUCUGAUAUAUUUGAGCUUUAUCAUUGCGAAAAGCAAGCACGUUUAAUUUCCACUGGUUACAACAGAUUAAAGAUGAGACCCACUUUAUAAUAAUGUUAAAUUGAAUGCACUUUAAAUGCAUAAAAAA
Sinocyclocheilus anshuiensis is the source of this 1616-nucleotide long non-coding RNA. RefSeq lists it as uncharacterized. The record is from RefSeq and is a predicted model, not a curated record. The transcript is spliced from 4 exons. NCBI's taxonomy places the organism in Eukaryota, Metazoa, Chordata, Actinopteri, Cypriniformes, Cyprinidae.